Molecule: long non-coding RNA, 913 nt
Filed under: Cyanistes caeruleus (blue tit)
Lineage: Eukaryota; Metazoa; Chordata; Aves; Passeriformes; Paridae
Description: lncRNA (ENSCCEG00000007410.1)
Source: RNAcentral
AUUUGGCUGUGCCAAAAUGGUCCUGGGAACAGAACCCAGAUGUGAACCCAGGCUGAAUUUCUGGGCAAGGGCUGCUCCACAACCAAAUCCUGCCCCUGGCUUGGCAAGACGUGGCUUGUGCUGAGAGGAACAUACCUUUGGGAUUGUCACGUGUGCUCCUGGUGUGUCACAACAGCCACAGCUGGGCCCUGCUGAGGGGAAAAUGAGCUAGAAUUGUGCUGGUUCCUAAAGAUCCAUCUAGAAACAGAACUUCUCCAUCCUUCUGGAUUAUUGUCUCACAUUUAUCCACUGGAAUUAAGACCUAUGCGUGGGAAAAGACAUCCAGGAGAGUGUUUGGAUGUUAUUUAGCACAGGGAGGCCGCAUUUCUGAACUGGUAGGGGCUGAUCCCAGGGCUCAGAGUGUCAAAUCCCCUCAGGUUUCCAGGUAAAAGUGUGGAUGCACUGCCUCUACCUGAGGAGCUUUGCAGUGCUGCUUUCCCAUCUCGGAUGAAGCAGGACGAGCACGGGAGCUGGAAGGACUUGAAGCCGCAGAGAGGACGUGGAAUUCUGUUGGCUGCUUGCAAGGAAAGGAAGGAAAACAUUCUCCACUCAGUUCCUCACACCUUCUGAAAAGGAUGAUGAAUGGGCUGGUUCUGCCUAAGGGAGUGUGUUCAAGCGCAAGGUGGCUCCGUGUCAAAGCUCAGCUGUUAUCGCUGGCUGAUUGUGCCUGCACGAGGAUCCUUCCGUGCUGAAUCUACACAAAUGGGGAAGAAAAAGAGAUGGAAGAGGCUGACAGUGUGCUACGAGGAGGUCAAAGCUGGGAAUCCACAGAUGGAGGGUGCAAAACAUAGCCAAAACCCCAGCAAGUUUCUGGCUCACAAUGGAUUGUGAAUAGAAGGAAUAAACAAUAAAGAGAAUCCUUAAAAACCCUCCA